UUCGGGUCAACUGCGACCUGAGUGGCGAAGCGAAAGCGAUAAGCAUUCCACCUGGGGAGUACGCCGGCAACGGUGAAACUCAAAGGAAUUGACGGGGCCCGCACAAGCGGAGGAACAUGUGGUUUAAUUCGAUGAUACGCGAGGAACCUUACCCGGGCUCAAACGGGAGCGGAAUGGCGGAGAGACCCGUCAGUCUACGGACCGCUUCCGAGGUGCUGCAUGGUUCGUCCCGCCGAAGGUGGGGUUGAUGAUUAGGGUAAAGUCGUAACAAGGUAAC
Molecule: ribosomal RNA, 277 nt
Filed under: uncultured bacterium
Lineage: Bacteria
Description: partial 16S ribosomal RNA
Rfam family: Bacterial small subunit ribosomal RNA
Source: RNAcentral